CGAACCGUGCGAACGUUGUUCGGAAUCACUGGGCUUAAAGGGCGCGUAGGCGGGCUGUCAAGUCUGGGGUGAAAUGUCGCGGCUCAACCGUGGAACUGCCUUAGAUACUGACGGCCUCGAGGGAGGUAGGGGCGUGCGGAACUGUAGGUGGAGCGGUGAAAUGCGUUGAUAUCUACAGGAACUCCGGUGGCGAAAGCGGCGCGCUGGACCUCUUCUGACGCUGAGGCGCGAAAGCUAGGGGAGCAAACGGGAUUAGAUACCCCGGUAGUCCUAGCCCUAAACGAUGGGUACUAGGUAGUAGACUAGACAUGGGUUUACUGCCGAAGCUAAAGUGCUAAGUACCCCGCCUGGGGAGUAUGGUCGCAAGGCUG
RNAcentral lists this ribosomal RNA (371 nucleotides) under uncultured organism. Its description in RNAcentral is "bacterial SSU rRNA". It matches the Rfam family "Bacterial small subunit ribosomal RNA", at positions 526 to 896 of the family's 1533-position model. The record is from RNAcentral.